Molecule: ribosomal RNA, 330 nt
Filed under: Triticum aestivum (bread wheat)
Lineage: Eukaryota; Viridiplantae; Streptophyta; Magnoliopsida; Poales; Poaceae
Description: partial small subunit ribosomal RNA
Source: RNAcentral
AUGGAUUUUUUGGUCCAUCAUUUUUAUGCUGGAACAGUUUCUUUUUUUGCUGGAACCUUGUUUAGAUUUUGCUACAAUCAAGAGGAUGGUGGUGUCGUCACCGCCGUGAUUUUUUGCUGCAUCAAUUCUUUUUUAGAACCACUCCUGAUUUUUUUGCUACUACCAGCUUUGUGUUUUGCUGGAACCACCGGCGAUUUUUGUUACUGCCAUUUUGCAGGUUUUGCUGGGACAACGAAUUUUUGUUACCACCAUCUGUUUUUCUUGCUGGAACUAGUGUCUUUUUUUGCUACCACCGGCUCGGCUGGCAAACGACGCCGUGGGCCGCAUUAG